RNAcentral lists this transfer RNA (81 nucleotides) under Phaeovulum vinaykumarii. RNAcentral describes it as "Rhodobacter vinaykumarii tRNA". It matches the Rfam family "tRNA". Rfam says of the family: Transfer RNA (tRNA) molecules are approximately 80 nucleotides in length. Their secondary structure includes four short double-helical elements and three loops (D, anti-codon, and T loops). The record is from Rfam by way of RNAcentral. Lineage: Bacteria; Pseudomonadati; Pseudomonadota; Alphaproteobacteria; Rhodobacterales; Paracoccaceae.
GCGGGCGUGGCGGAAUGGUAGACGCACGGCACUUAAAAUGCCCCGGGCUUGCCCAUGCGGGUUCGAGUCCCGCCGCCCGCA